AUACCUUUGGAUCUUGUUAUCCCAAUCAUCCCAGUGAUACGCGGAACCUUGGUUUCGGGUUGAUUUAAUCACAAAUACCUGCUAGCUCGAGUCUCUGCACGUUAGCAUUGAGGUCCUGCCAUCUCGUUAUAUGGAAGAGCAGUUCAUACUCAGAGUCCCACCAUCUAUUGCAGAGCGAUUAGACUGCCUUCUUAGUGAAUGUGAAAAUGCGUCAUCUUCUGAAGAAAAAUCUUUGGAUUUGACCUUUUCUGAGGAUGUGAGGAGCGGGACAUUUGUCAUUGCCAAUGACCAUUUCCUGCAUCUCUCUUGGAUCUUCCUUCUGUUGUGGAAUCAUAUAAAACAUAUGAUGACAGUGUGUUGAUCAAGACAUUGGCCAGAUGAUUAUGGUUAGAGAAGCAGGUGAUCCUGCUCCAGACAUGGUCUCCCCCCUCCUAUGAGGGAGGCUCGAAAGCGGAGAUUUCGCAGGGAGCCAGAUCUAAAUAUAUUAAAUAAGUCAUUGCAAAGCUUUGCUAACAAACAUAACAGGAAGAUUGUGAAGGAGAAAGAAGGAAAAAAGAAAAAAUAAUCUGUGCUAUCACUUUGGCAUAUGGACGAUCAUUUUGAGAAAUAUGGCUCCUUUUCAUUUGUUAUCUUGUAAUUGCAAAUCAUUUAUUGAAAAGGAAGGCUUUUGUAGUUUAGAAGUUGCAUUUACAAAUAUAGUUUUCGUCUAGGUAUUAAAAUAAAAACGUGAAAUCGGUAUUCUAAUAAAAAGUCACCAAGUCUAUUGAAAUUGGAACUUA
This is a long non-coding RNA of Juglans microcarpa x Juglans regia, 779 nucleotides long. RefSeq lists it as uncharacterized. Lineage: Eukaryota; Viridiplantae; Streptophyta; Magnoliopsida; Fagales; Juglandaceae. The transcript has 4 exons. The record is from RefSeq and is a predicted model, not a curated record.